UAAAGAGAGAGAGGAGACAUUUUCUCAGAAAAUUGUCAAUGACUAAGAGUGAUUAAAACUAAAAGGUUUUAAGAUGAAGCAGAAAAUAUUCCUGAUGUAAAGAAGAUAUGCCUAAACCAGAGGAUAUUCUUUUGAUAAAUACUAUCAAGAUAAAGUAAUGGCAGAAUGUAGCAGCUCUCCAGACAUAAAGAGGAAACAGACGAUUACGUGGACUGGGCCAAACAUGACACCCUCUUUGAGCCAACAACAGCCAUAUGAACAGACAUUCAGCACCAUCUGCACAAACCUACAGCUUAAUUCAAGGUCAGGACACUUUCACUGUGCUUAUUGAAUAACUAGCAGGAAAAGGUCCCUCUCAGUACCUUUAACACUGAGGGUCAUCUUUAGCAAUACUUCGCAAUUUUAGAUACAAUUUACAUUAAAUGGAUUUUGAGUAAAAAAGAUUGCUCUCAAUAUGCGUGGGCCUCAUCAAACCAGUCAAGAAAGAGCCUAUAUAACACGAAAAGGCCAGCUACCCUCAGCAAGAGAGAAUUGCCCAACAGACAAUGCUCGGACUUCAUCUGCACCAUUGGCUCUUCCUGGUGCUACAGCAGAUGGCCUCAGACUCAAAGUGGAGCAUCAGUUCUUCUGGACCAUCUGCCUGACAACACCUGCAGAUUAUGGAUUUACCAGCUUCCAUAAUCAUGUGAGCCAAUUCUUUUAGAAGAUUAAUGGAUACAUGAUAGAUAGACAGAAAUAUUCUAUUGGUCGUAUCUUUGAAGAACCCUGACUAGUAUACCAGCAUUUUAAAACUGAAAGUUUUGACCAGCUUCAGUGACACAACUGUAACAAAAUGCUACCUGGGGCUGAAGGAAGAUCCUGGUUUUGUGUCCUGAGGUCUCUCUGUACAUUGCUGAGUGCUCACACAUUC
Molecule: long non-coding RNA, 910 nt
Organism: Tupaia belangeri chinensis (Chinese tree shrew)
Lineage: Eukaryota; Metazoa; Chordata; Mammalia; Scandentia; Tupaiidae
Exons: 4
Source: RefSeq, a predicted model, not a curated record